CACAAGCGAUGGAGCAUGUGGUUUAAUUCGACGCAACGCGAAGAACCUUACCUGGGUUUGACAUCCCGAUCGUACUCUAUGGAAACAUAGGGGUCAGUUCGGCUGGAUCGGUGACAGGUGCUGCAUGGCUGUCGUCAGCUCGUGUCGUGAGAUGUUGGGUUAAGUCCCGCAACGAGCGCAACCCUUAUCCCCAGUUGCCAUCAGGUAAAGCUGGGGACUCUGGGGAGACUGCCGGUGAUAAACCGGAGGAAGGCGGGGAUGACGUCAAGUCCUCAUGGCCCUUACAUCCCGGGCUACACACGUGCUACAAUGGCAGGUACAGAGGGCUGCGAAGCCGCGAGGUGGAGCGAAUCCCAGAAAAUCAUCCGUAGUUCGGAUUGGAGUCUGAAACCCGACUCCAUGAAGGUGGAAUCGCUAGUAAUCGCGCAUCAGUAUGGCGCGGUGAAUGCGUUCCCGGGCCUU
This 462-nucleotide ribosomal RNA is filed under the name uncultured Desulfuromusa sp. RNAcentral's name for it is "bacterial SSU rRNA". It matches the Rfam family "Bacterial small subunit ribosomal RNA", at positions 924 to 1382 of the family's 1533-position model. Lineage: Bacteria; Pseudomonadati; Thermodesulfobacteriota; Desulfuromonadia; Desulfuromonadales; Geopsychrobacteraceae. The record is from RNAcentral.